CUGCGGAGGGAUCAUUACCGAGUGUAAAAACUCCCAAACCAUUGUGAACCUACCACUGUUGCUUCGGCGGCCUCGCCCCGGGCGCGUUCGCGCGGCCCGGACCCAGGCGUCCGCCGGAGGCUCCAAACUCUUGUCUUUUAGUGUAUUUCUGAGUGGCAUAAGCAAAUAAAUCAAAACUUUCAGCAACGGAUCUCUUGGUUCUGGCAUCGAUGAAGAACGCAGCAAAAUGCGAUAAGUAAUGUGAAUUGCAGAAUUCAGUGAAUCAUCGAAUCUUUGAACGCACAUUGCGCCCGCCAGUAUUCUGGCGGGCAUGCCUGUCUGAGCGUCAUUUCAACCCUCAGGACCCGUUCGCGGGACCUGGCGUUGGGGAUCAGCCUGCCCCUGGCGGCGGCUGGCCCUGAAAUCCAGUGGCGGUUCCCUCGCGAACUCCUCCGUGCAGUAAUUAAACCUCUCUCGGCAGGAUAGCGGUUGAACCACGCCGUUAAACCCCCCACUUCUCAAGGUUGACCUCAGAUCAGGUAGGAAUACCCGCUGAACUUAAGCAUAUCAAU
This 551-nucleotide small RNA is filed under the name Sarocladium strictum. RNAcentral's name for it is "eukaryotic LSU rRNA". The stretch from base 175 to 328 matches the Rfam family "5.8S ribosomal RNA". The record is from RNAcentral. Lineage: Eukaryota; Fungi; Ascomycota; Sordariomycetes; Hypocreales; Sarocladiaceae.